GGUUUUUAGGUACUUAUUGAAAAUCAGGCCUGCUCAAUGUAAUAUUAAUAGCCGCGGUAUUUUGACCGUGCAAAGGUAGCAUAAUAAUUUGUCUUUUAAUUUAGGACUAGAAUGAAAGGUCAAACUAAGUAAUUUUGUCUUAUAAUGAUAUUUUGAAUUUUACAUUUUAGUAAAAAGGCUAAAAUUUAUUUUAGGGACGAGAAGACCCUGUCAAACUUUACAAAUUAUCUUGUUUUUCUUAAAACAAAUCAAAUUUGUUUUACUGGGGCAGUAAAUAAAGUAAUUUUAUUUUUACAAUGUGGACAUUAUUCUUUAGAAAUCAGAAAUUUUCUAAUUAAAAAUAAGUUACUGCAGGGAUAACAGCGUAAUUCUUUUUACGAGUACGUAUCAAUAAAAGAGUUUGCGACCUCGAUGUUGGAUUAAAAUUCCUGAUUCACGCAAUAGUGAAAUAAGGAAGUCUGUUCGACUUUUAAUAUUUUCCA
Molecule: ribosomal RNA, 482 nt
Filed under: Heterometrus laoticus
Lineage: Eukaryota; Metazoa; Arthropoda; Arachnida; Scorpiones; Scorpionidae
Description: partial 16S ribosomal RNA
Rfam family: Archaeal large subunit ribosomal RNA
Source: RNAcentral